Molecule: ribosomal RNA, 798 nt
Filed under: uncultured Planctomycetia bacterium
Lineage: Bacteria; Pseudomonadati; Planctomycetota; Planctomycetia
Description: bacterial SSU rRNA
Rfam family: Bacterial small subunit ribosomal RNA
Source: RNAcentral
UCCCGCAAGGGACGUGGCGCAAGGGUGAGUAAGGCGACGGUAACCAACCCUAGGGACGGGCAUAGUCAGGGGAAACCCCUGGGUAAUUCCCGGCGACGUCGCGGCCUGACAUCGGGCUGCGACCAAAGGUGCAAUUCCGCCCUUCGACGGGCCGUCGUGGUAUCAGGUUGUUGGUGGGGUGACGGCCUACCAAGCCGAGGACGCCUACCGGGCGUGCGAGCGUGGCCCGGCACACUGGGACUGAGACACUGCCCAGACUCCUACGGGAGGCUGCAGUCGAGAAUCUUCGGCAAUGGGCGCAAGCCUGACCGAGCGACGCCGCGUGGAGGACUAAGGCCUUCGGGUUGUAAACUCCUGUCGAGGGGGAACAAGGGGCCGUGAAGAACGGCUCUUGAGUGAUCCCUGGAGGAAGCACGGGCUAAGUUCGUGCCAGCAGCCGCGGUAAGACGAACCGUGCGAACGUUAUUCGGAAUCACUGGGCUUAAAGCGCGUGUAGGCGGGCCGGCACGUCGAUGGCUGAAAUCCCCCGGCUCAACCGGGGAAGUGGCCUCGAUACGACCGGCCUGGAGGGGGGGUAGGGGGCGCCGGAACUUCCGGUGGAGCGGUGAAAUGCGUUGAGAUCGGAAGGAACGCCCGUGGCGAAAGCGGGCGCCUGGACCCCACCUGACGCUGAGACGCGAAAGCCAGGGGAGCGAACGGGAUUAGAUACCCCGGUAGUCCUGGCCGUAAACCAUGAGCACUGGGUAGGGGGCUCGCCGAUGGGCUCCCUGCCGGAGCGAAAGCGUGAAGUGCUCCGCC